GCCGGCAUGCCUUACACAUGCAAGUCGGACGGCAGCGCGGGGGCAACCCGGCGGCGAGUGGCGAACGGGUGAGUAAUACAUCGGAACGUGUCUGGAGUGGGGGAUAGCCCGGCGAAAGCCGGAUUAAUACCGCAUACGCUCUAUGGAGGAAAGCGGGGGAUCUUUCGGGACCUCGCGCUCAAGGGGCGGCCGAUGGCAGAUUAGCUAGUUGGUGGGGUAAAGGCCUACCAAGGCGACGAUCUGUAGCUGGUCUGAGAGGACGACCAGCCACACUGGGACUGAGACACGGCCCAGACUCCUACGGGAGGCAGCAGUGGGGAAUUUUGGACAAUGGGGGCAACCCUGAUCCAGCAAUGCCGCGUGUGUGAAGAAGGCCUUCGGGUUGUAAAGCACUUUUGUCCGGAAAGAAAACUUCGGGGUUAAUACCUCUGGAGGAUGACGGUACCGGAAGAAUAAGCACCGGCUAACUACGUGCCAGCAGCCGCGGUAAUACGUAGGGUGCGAGCGUUAAUCGGAAUUACUGGGCGUAAAGCGUGCGCAGGCGGUUCGCUAAGACCGAUGUGAAAUCCCCGGGCUUAACCUGGGAACUGCAUUGGUGACUGGCGGGCUAGAGUAUGGCAGAGGGGGGUAGAAUUCCACGUGUAGCAGUGAAAUGCGUAGAGAUGUGGAGGAAUACCGAUGGCGAAGGCAGCCCCCUGGGCCAAUACUGACGCUCAUGCACGAAAGCGUGGGGAGCAAACAGGAUUAGAUACCCUGGUAGUCCACGCCCUAAACGAUGUCAACUAGUUGUCGGGUCUUCAUUGACUUGGUAACGAAGCUAACGCGUGAAGUUGACCGCCUGGGGAGUACGGUCGCAAGAUUAAAACUCAAAGGAAUUGACGGGGACCCGCACAAGCGGUGGAUGAUGUGGAUUAAUUCGAUGCAACGCGAAAAACCUUACCUACCCUUGACAUGUACGGAACCUUGCUGAGAGGUGAGGGUGCCCGAAAGGGAGCCGUAA
Molecule: ribosomal RNA, 1000 nt
Filed under: Paraburkholderia phymatum
Lineage: Bacteria; Pseudomonadati; Pseudomonadota; Betaproteobacteria; Burkholderiales; Burkholderiaceae
Description: bacterial SSU rRNA
Rfam family: Bacterial small subunit ribosomal RNA
Source: RNAcentral